GUCCCUGUCGAGCAUUGGAUAGCGCGUUGGAUUUUUAAUCCAAAGUUCAUGGGUUCGAAUCCCAAAUAGGGUCA
Molecule: non-coding RNA, 74 nt
Organism: Trichonephila clavipes
Lineage: Eukaryota; Metazoa; Arthropoda; Arachnida; Araneae; Nephilidae
Source: the annotation of a GenBank genome assembly